ACAAGUUAUUAAGAGCAACGGGCGGAUGCCUUGGCGCUGAAGGCGAUGAAAGACGUGAUAAGCUGCGAUAAGCCUCGGGGAGGAGCUAAAUAUCCUAUGAUCCGUGGAUCUCUGAAUGGGGCAACCCACUGGAAGCAGUUCCAGUACCUCAGUUGAGGAGCUGACCUGGGGAAGUGAAACAUCUCAGUACCCAGAGGAAAAGAAAUCAAACGAGACUCCCAAAGUAGCGGCGAGCGAAAUGGGAAGAGGCCAAACCGGACAGUUUCGACUAUCCGGGGUUGUAGGGCCGCCGUACGUGAUCUCGGAGUAGGCAGGAGAAGCUGGCUGGAAAGCCACACCACAGCGGGUGACAGUCCCGUAUCCGAAACCGAAAAGAGCGCAGGCGGUACCUGAGUACUGCGAGGCACGUGAAACCUCGUGGGAAUCCGGGAGGACCAUCUUCCAAGCCUAAGUACGAUCCAGCGACCGAUAGUGAACCAGUACCGUGAGGGAAAGGUGAAAAGAACCCCUGUCAGGGGAGUGAAAUAGAAUCUGAAACCUGUUGCUUACAAGCUGUGGGAGCAGUUUUAACGACUGUGACCAUGUGCCUUUUGCAUAAUGAGUCAGCGAGUUAAUCUGUUGUGCAAGGUUAAGCGAGAGCGGAGCCGAAGCGAAAGCGAGUCUGAAGAGGGCGUUUAGUACAGCGGAUUAGACCCGAAACCGGGUGAUCUAUCCAUGAGCAGGUUGAAGCAAGGGUAAAGCCUUGUGGAGGACCGAACCAAUACCGGCUGAAAACGAUUUGGAUGACUUGUGGAUAGGGGUGAAAGGCCAAUCAAACCCGGUGAUAGCUGGUUCUCCCCGAAAUAUAUUGAGGUAUAGCCUCAGGGAUUGUUUAUCGGAGGUAAAGCACUGACAAGGCUAGGGGUCCUACCAGAUUACCAAACCUUAUCAAACUCUGAAUGCCGAAUAAAUGUACCCUGGGAGUCAGACGGCGGGUGCUAAGGUCCGUCGUCAAAAGGGUAAGAGCCCAGAUCGACAGCUAAGGCCUCCAAUUCCAUACUCAGUGGUGAAGGUGGUGGAGUUGUUUAGACAGCCAGGACGUUGGCUUAGAAGCAGCCAUCGUUUAAAGAAAGCGUAAUAGCUCACUGGUCUAAUGAUUCUGCGCCGAAAAUGUAACGGGGCUAAGUAUGGAGCCGAAGCUUCGGAUUUGUCUUUAUGACAUCUGGUAGGGGAGCGUUCUCAACGGGCUGAAGCUGUGGUGAAAACCAUGGUGGACUGUUGAGAAGUGAUUAUGCUGACAUGAGUAACGAUAAAACAGGUGAAAAACCUGUUCGCCGAAAACCCAAGGUUUCCUGGGUAAAGUUAAUCUUCCCAGGGUUAGUCGGUCCCUAAGGAGAGGGCGAAAGCCGUAUCUGAUGGAAAACGGGUUAAUAUUCCCGUACUUGCAUGGAUGUGCGAUGGAGGGACGCAGCAAGAUAGGUGAUCCGGGUGUUGGAUAUCCCGGUGCAAGUGUGUAGGAGUGCGAAGCAGGCAAAUCCGUUUCGCUUAUCCGAGACACGAGUCCGAGCCGCAAGGCGGAAGUCAUUGAGUCUACACUGCCAAGAAAAGCUUCUAAGUUUAGUCCAUGUGAACCGUACUCGAAACCAACUCAGGUGGGUGGGAUGAAUAAUCCAAGGCGCUCGAGAGAUUCAUGGCUAAGGAACUCGGCAAAAUGACCCCGUAACUUCGGAAGAAGGGGUGCUCCUCUGUGUGAGUUUAUUUACUAUGCAAGCACGAGGGAGCCGCAGUGAAUUGGUGGUGGCGACUGUUUACUAAAAACAUAGGUCUGUGCGAAGUCGCAAGACGACGUAUACGGACUGACGCCUGCCCGGUGCCGGAAGGUUAAAAGGAGAGGUCAGCGCAAGCGAAGCCUUGAAUUGAAGCCCCGGUAAACGGCGGCCGUAACUAUAACGGUCCUAAGGUAGCGAAAUUCCUUGUCGGGUAAGUUCCGACCUGCACGAAUGGCGUAACGAUCUCCACACUGUCUCGGCCAGAGACUCGGUGAAAUUGAAGUCGCGGUGAAAAUGCCGUGUACCCGCAGAAAGACGGAAAGACCCUGUGCACCUUUACUAUAGCUUGACAUUGGAUUUUGGCCCUACAUGUGUAGGAUAGGUGGGAGCCUGUGAACCCUGUACGCCAGUAUGGGGGGAGGCACUGUUGAAAUACCACCCUUUGUAUG
This 2197-nucleotide ribosomal RNA is filed under the name human gut metagenome. Its description in RNAcentral is "bacterial LSU rRNA". It matches the Rfam family "Bacterial large subunit ribosomal RNA", at positions 1 to 2213 of the family's 2925-position model. The record is from RNAcentral.